CCCGCACAAGCGAGUGGAGUAUGUGGUUUAAUUCGAAGCAACGCGAAGAACCUUUACCAGGGCUUGACAUCCCUUGAAGCAGCUAGAGAUAGCUGUGGUCCUUCGGGACAAGGAGACAGGUGGUGCAUGGUUGUCGUCAGCUCGUGUCGUGAGAUGUUGGGUUAAGUCCCGCAACGAGCGCAACCCCUGUGGUUAGUUGCCAGCAAGUAGCGUUGGGCACUCUAGCCAGACUGCCGGUGAUAAAUCGGAGGAAGGUGGGGACGACGUCAAAUCAUCAUGCCCUUUAUGUCCUGGGCUACACACGUACUACAAUGGCCGUUACAACGGGAAGCGAAGGAGCAAUCCGGAGCAAAUCCCUUAAAGGCGGUCCCAGUUCAGAUUGUGGGCUGAAACUCGCCCACAUGAAGGCGGAAUUGCUAGUAAUUGCAGAUCAGCAUGCUGCAGUGAAUACGUUCCCGGGCCUU
Molecule: ribosomal RNA, 464 nt
Filed under: uncultured bacterium
Lineage: Bacteria
Description: bacterial SSU rRNA
Rfam family: Bacterial small subunit ribosomal RNA
Source: RNAcentral